Long non-coding RNA from Neopsephotus bourkii (Bourke's parrot), 1335 nucleotides. RefSeq lists it as uncharacterized. Lineage: Eukaryota; Metazoa; Chordata; Aves; Psittaciformes; Psittacidae. The transcript is spliced from 3 exons. The record is from RefSeq and is a predicted model, not a curated record.
CAGACCCGUACGGGUGGUAACUACUGACAGGAGGUCCAGUGCAAGCACAGAGGCAGGAUUUCCUUUGGAGGGCAGUUACAGCCCACUCGGGGGGGAACAGGGCAGGACAAGGGUAUGAAGGGGGAAAGUUUGCUUCUGAGGGUUACCUGCUGCUUGCCCUCCAUUGGCAACAGGGGCACAUAUGUUGAUGGGUGCCCAAGGCUGACUCACCAAGGGGCAUCUGGGUUGGUGCUGGGGACUUCUAGAUGCUGGUGUUUAUUUGCUCCCUGGUUUCCCGUCCAUCAGGGAGCAAAGGGACAUUUCCAUAAAACUCCACAGUGGUGCCUGUGUAUAUUUGAAGCCUCUUAGCUCCUCUGUUGGCAUACACACAGGUGCCUGAGGUGGGACACAUGGGCUGGAACAUCACAGAAGGAGUCCCAACAAGGACAGAGUGAAGCACAAACAUGAGGGAGCAAUUAAAUGAGGUGUCACACGAACCACCUUGCAACUUCCCAUUCAGUGGCUGGACACAGUGCUAAAGCCCUGCAGAAAUGGAAACCAAAUGGUUUCUCUCUCUAAGUACAUGAAGAUUUGCAUGGAGUUGUGCCCAUAUCUUUGUGCUCUGGCCGUCCAGGAAAUCUGAAAGGCUAGAUAAGGAAGUCAUGAAAAUGUAUAACACUGAGAGCAUGUUAAGGGGAUGGUUUACAGCCACGGUAAUACAAUAUGAAACUGGAGCUUGCAGGGUUCACUGGAGAAAUGCACAUUUGGCAGCAUGAAUGAAAAUGUUCUCUUUGCUGCUGCCCCUCAUGUCUACCCAAAAUAAAAUGCUGCUCCCAGAACCUGUAUGCAAUAAAUGAGUAUUCUCAAAGGGAAUGUUGCCAUAUCUGGUAGAAGCAGAAACACCUCUGUAGAAACACCAACUCUCAGAAUCCCCUUCUGUACCUAUGCUAAGCAUUUUCUCUUUCAGAGCUAGCUAUCCAGCCCCUACCAAUGCUCAUAACUGUAAACAGGACUGAAUUGCUGCUGGACAUUUCAUUAUUCAGAGACAUAUCUACAUGAGAUAGCUAGUAAUUUUUCCUUUAACCCUACAAGAGAUCAAAUGGCAGCACAUUCCUCUGAGAAGCUGAUAAGGCUUGCUCAAGGAGGUGCAUGAGAGGAAAAGGAAGACUGAGGGAUGACUGUUACUAUCUACAUCACACUAGUGGUUAGAAAUCCCAGACAGAAUCAGGCCUCCGCUAUGCUAGAUUAUGUACACUUACACAGGAUAGGAAAAGUUGUAGUCUGGAAAUUGAAGCUUAAACAGACAAAAGGUGAGAGGAGAAAAAGGUAUAAAGAGAUGAAAUACCAUGCCCAAGA